CACACGGUAAACGAUGAAUACUCGCUGUUUGCGAUAUACAGCAAGCGGCCAAGCGAAAGCGUUAAGUAUUCCACCUGGGGAGUACGCCGGCAACGGUGAAACUCAAAGGAAUUGACGGGGGCCCGCACAAGCGGAGGAACAUGUGGUUUAAUUCGAUGAUACGCGAGGAACCUUACCCGGGCUUAAAUUGCAGAUGAAUUACGGUGAAAGCCGUAAGCCGCAAGGCAUCUGUGAAGGUGC
RNAcentral lists this ribosomal RNA (240 nucleotides) under uncultured Bacteroides sp. Its description in RNAcentral is "partial 16S ribosomal RNA". It matches the Rfam family "Bacterial small subunit ribosomal RNA", at positions 796 to 1041 of the family's 1533-position model. Lineage: Bacteria; Pseudomonadati; Bacteroidota; Bacteroidia; Bacteroidales; Bacteroidaceae. The record is from RNAcentral.